AUUGAACGCUGGCGGAAUGCUUUACACAUGCAAGUCGAACGGCAGCACGGGGGCAGCCCUGGCGGCGAGUGGCGAACGGGUGAGUAAUACAUCGGAACGUGCCCGGUCGUGGGGGAUAACGUAGCGAAAGUUACGCUAAUACCGCAUACGAUCUGAGGAUGAAAGCGGGGGACCUUCGGGCCUCGCGCGAUCGGAGCGGCCGAUGUCAGAUUAGGUAGUUGGUGGGGUAAAGGCCUACCAAGCCGACGAUCUGUAGCUGGUCUGAGAGGACGACCAGCCACACUGGGACUGAGACACGGCCCAGACUCCUACGGGAGGCAGCAGUGGGGAAUUUUGGACAAUGGGCGCAAGCCUGAUCCAGCCAUUCCGCGUGCAGGACGAAGGCCUUCGGGUUGUAAACUGCUUUUGUACGGAACGAAAAGGCUCUGGCUAAUACCUGGGGCACAUGACGGUACCGUAAGAAUAAGCACCGGCUAACUACGUG
This 484-nucleotide ribosomal RNA is filed under the name uncultured bacterium. RNAcentral describes it as "partial 16S ribosomal RNA". It matches the Rfam family "Bacterial small subunit ribosomal RNA", at positions 29 to 507 of the family's 1533-position model. The record is from RNAcentral.